GAGGGUAUAGCUCAGUGGUACAGUGCAUGCCUAGCAUGCACGAGGUCCUGGGUUCAAUCCCCAGUACCUCCA
This 72-nucleotide transfer RNA is filed under the name Camelus bactrianus (Bactrian camel). It matches the Rfam family "tRNA". Rfam says of the family: Transfer RNA (tRNA) molecules are approximately 80 nucleotides in length. Their secondary structure includes four short double-helical elements and three loops (D, anti-codon, and T loops). The record is from Rfam by way of RNAcentral. Lineage: Eukaryota; Metazoa; Chordata; Mammalia; Artiodactyla; Camelidae. RNAcentral also lists the same sequence under 3 other names.